CUGGUAUGCGCCUAAGAGCUGGUCUACCUAUCAUAUUUAUCUUUGGAAAUACCUUCUAGGAGCUGACUUACCGCAUGGUGGCCAUAUAAUGCAUAGUACAAGCCUCCAUUUCCUAUUUGCUCAUCAGUGUGCUGAUGAUCCACGCAACACACCAAUGAGAGAAGCUACUAAUGUCCUGGGAAUGCUCCUUUGUGAUAGAAAAUAUAAGACUGAGAGGGAAGUCACAUACAAAUCCUUACACUGACAAGAUGAGUUAGUUGGAUAGCGUCCUGUAUUUCUAUUGCAUGACAUUGUGACUUUGGAUUGUUUCAGUCCACUAUAUGUAGAGAUGUUAGGAGCCCCAUAUUCCCCUCCCAGGGCCCCUUGUGGAUGGGAAUUGAUUGUUAAACUGCUCUGGGAAUUGUAGCUCUGGGAGAAGAAUACCAGUCUCCUAACAACUCUUGGAACUCUUAACAAACUACAGCUCCCGCAAUUGCAUGACAUUGUGACUUUGGAUUGUUUCAGUCCACUAUAUGACACUAUCUGGGCACCACAAUUCAAGAAGGACAUUGACAAACUGGAACGUGUCCAGAGGAGGGCAACCAAAAUGGUCAAAGGCCUGGAAACGAUGCCUUAUGAGGAACAGCUAAGGGAGCUGGGCAUGUUUAGCCUGGAGAAGAGGAGGUUAAGGGGUGAUAUGAUAGCCAUGUUCAAAUAUAUAAAAGGAUGUCACAUAGAGGAGGGAGAAAGGUUGUUUUCUGCUGCUCCAGAGAAGCGGACACGGAGCAAUGGAUCCAAACUACAAGAAAGAAGAUUCCACCUAAACAUUAGGAAGAACUUCCUGACAGUAAGAGCUGUUCGACAGUGGAAUUUGCUGCCAAGGAGUGUGGUGGAGUCUCCUUCUUUGGAGGUCUUUAAGCAGAGGCUUGACAACCAUAUGUCAGGAGUGCUCUGAUGGUGUUUCCUGCUUGGCAGGGGGUUGGACUCGAUGGCCCUUGUGGUCUCUUCCAACUAUGUGAUUCUAUGAUUCUAUGAAUUCUUUAGGAGAAGCCAUGACUGUUUAAAGUGGUAUCAUAGUGCUUUAAAUGUAUGGCGUGGAUGUGGCCUUGCUUUCUUUGCACAUUACUUUUUUCCUUCAUAAAAAUAAUCUCAGAUAUGCUGGGACUGCAUAGGUUUGAAAGUGCACAGCUUCCAAGCACAUAAUUAUUGCAAAAUAAACAUUUCCCUCCUUUUCAAAUUUGACACUUUACAGAAGUGCACACACAUCUUUCUUACUGGGCUUUAUACAAGAAAAAAAAUAUUGUAGCUUUCAGAAUGCUAAGAAUCAACAAGGCUGACCAUCAUUCUUCUCCCAAAGCCAUUCAUCUCUUUGCACUCUCUUUCGGUCCUAGGUCCACCCUUCUAUACCAUCCCUUUUCUCCAACUGAAAUCUCUGUUUGCCUUGCAUUUAGGAAGACUUGAACAGUCACAUUGGAUCAUUCAUUGUUUUGGAGCGCUGCUGUCCCACAUAGUUAAAAUCUAAGUAUUGAAAAGUGGGAACCAGGAGUUCUGGCAAGAAGAUGUCUCACAGGCAUCUCAGAGUUGGGUUGUGGAGGGUCACAUAGCGCUUAACCCUUCCUAUGCUGAGCUACGGGGCCUUAGGCAUAGGAAAUGGCACUUUUCUUGGAAGAAUCUUAUGGCUGCAAAAUUUGCUGGGCUCCCUCAACGUGUCCAAAGGGCAUGGGAAGAGCAGAUCAGAUGCCCUUUUCUCCUACAUCAUGUCUUAGCAAUGAGAGAGAAAAACAAAUGCCUGGGAAUGAGUUUUCCAGACUGAAGGCUAUUGAAUGUGUCUUUUCUAUCCAGGCCUUAUGAACAACUGGGGGGAGGAUGAGAGAUGUAGGCUGAAGUGACAGGUCAUCCCCUUCAGAAGCUGCUCUAACCACAUGCAGAGAAAAGGGCACAGUCAGCAAGAUAUGCCUGGCUCUUCUCUGAGGGGAUCUCUGUCCUAAAAUGGCCUAGAGACAAUUCUGCUUUGUAGCUGCACCAAUUUAGGACUAGGCAUCGACCAGUGAGUUUGUAUAAAUAAGGAAAAUGGCCCUGAAUAAUGGAUAGGAGGGUGUUGGUAGCGGCUUGAAUUCACACAGUUCAAAAGGUCAUCAGAAAAAAAUAAGAUGAGCUCACAAACAAAUGUUGCUCACAUGUAUUUCCAGUAAAGAUUUGAGUACAGCGACUUGUAUAAUGUCCAUGUAAGUGAUUAUAAUUUUAUGCAUCUGCACAGAGAGGGAAUAUUCAGGACAUAAUUAAUCAUUGCUAUAGACGUCUACAAAAAUAAUUUUGCUAACAGUUGGAGGAGGGUGUUCUCCCCACCCAUGUAACAAUUUUUCACUUUCUCAUCUGCUGAAGCUCUUUGACAUACUAUUAGGCAUGGUCAGUCAAAGAGAAGCCAUAGCCUCAUCUGCUGAGAUGUUUUAACAGGAGCAGACAUUUAUGAAAGCCCUUUUUGGAAUCCCAAAAUAGGAUGGGGGAGUUCAUGUAAUGUUCAGUUCUACUCUCUUGGUUCACUCUGAAUCUCAAGGCUUGUGUUUAUGAUUCUAUUAAUUGUUCCCACCUCUGUAUAACACUGCUUUUCCCCUAUAGCAGUAGGUUCAUUCCCUAGCACAAUCAGUUAAAGCAGGGGUAGCUAACUUCUGGGGUCAUGGGGCAUGUUCACCUGUGACCAACACUCCGGCGUCUGCAUGUCCCAUGGUUGCAUACACAUCCUUGCAUGCACAGAGAGAGAGAGAAUUUCCAUCUGUGGUUGAUCUGUGUAGAUCAGCUAAGGAGUGGGGCUGUCACUCUCUCUGCUCAUCAAAAUGAUCAUUCUGGUGAUUUGCAUCUCCAUCAGGGCAUUGGGCUCUGCCCACCACAAUGCUGUGGCAACUUUUUUUUAAUCACCACUUUCAAAAUUGGUGAGCUCAGGGAGUCAGAUCAGGCCCUCUACCUGGUGUUAGCAACCUCUAAAUUAAAGAAUUGCAAGGCUGUUAAGUUGUGACUUGGAGGGUGAGAUAGUUCAAUGUGCAAGGGCGAGGGGAGUACUUGACCCCCUCCUGCACCUACCAAUUAUCUUCUAUAAAUGUCCUCCUGAAUGACUUCUAGUUUGUGAUCUAGCUUGGGGAACGAUUCAAAACUACCUGUGGGGAACGUUGCAGAGGAGAAUCAGAAGUUGGAGGAAGGGUUAAGCACUCUCUCCUACCCAUAAGAUCCCUGCAGCAAAAAACAUCCUCAUUGCCACCCCACACUGGUAUGACAAGAGAAAUGCAGGGUUGGGAUCCUGAUGUUUCCAUUGCAACAUCUCAUUUGACAAGAAAUACCUCUGCUUGUGGAUUAAGAGCUCUACUUACAGACCAUGGGUCUGUAAAGCAGUUUCUUAUGGCUACGGAUAGUAAAGAGUCCAAUCUCGCAGAUGUUUACUGUGUGAAUGUUUUGAUUCUACAGCAUUUUAUAACUACAGUGUGUGAAUAUAGCCCUAUACUUACUUGCAUUCUGUAUCCAGGGUAUGUAGUGUAUAGAGGGCUUGCAGUGGCAAGCCCUUACCCUGAGAUGCACAAUCAGCAUAGUUAAGUCUUGAAAACCCCAUUGGCACCAUACACAUGCAUGCAUUGAAUGAAAGGUUGAUAAAUAAACCCACUGAUGGAAGGACACCUGCAUGCACAUCAGAUCCAACCAUGUGGUUGGUUAGUCAAGCCCAAACCCUUCUCAAUGAACUCUGGUUACAUUUCCAGGGGAACUUUGGAUGACCUUGCUCUGCUGAGUCAAGAGAAAUAUAAAAAUUCUUUUGCAGUGCUGCUCAUUACUGCAGCUACCCAUCACCUGCUGGGUGUGCAUCUUUUCAUUUAUUCAUUUCUCAAUGGGAGGUGCCAUCACGCUGCAGUUACUGAAACAAAUGGUGGCUGGGCAGCAGUCUUCUACGGCCUGGAGUUUGAUGGUUUCACUCUGUCUGGGUCGGCAGCUUGUCUGCCAAUCAGUCAGGCAACUCUGAGCCUCUGUUUUCCGGAACCUCACAUUCUCUGGGAGCAUGGAGGUGAAGGGAGUCCCCUUUCGUAUUUGAGAUCACUCUGGAUUCUCUAUUUGUACAUGCUGGAUCUAGCAUCUCAUCACCUGGCAACAGUCCUUUCCUAGC
Podarcis lilfordi (Lilford's wall lizard) is the source of this 4117-nucleotide non-coding RNA. The record is from the annotation of a GenBank genome assembly. NCBI's taxonomy places the organism in Eukaryota, Metazoa, Chordata, Lepidosauria, Squamata, Lacertidae.